RNAcentral lists this ribosomal RNA (493 nucleotides) under uncultured bacterium. Its description in RNAcentral is "partial 16S ribosomal RNA". It matches the Rfam family "Bacterial small subunit ribosomal RNA", at positions 27 to 507 of the family's 1533-position model. The record is from RNAcentral.
GAGUGAACGCUGGUGGUAGGCCUAACACAUGCAAGUCGAACGGCAGCACAGUAAGAGCUUGCUCUUACGGGUGGCGAGUGGCGGACGGGUGAGGAAUACAUCGGAAUCUACUUUUUCGUGGGGGAUAACGUAGGGAAACUUACGCUAAUACCGCAUACGACCUACGGGUGAAAGCAGGGGAUCUUCGGACCUUGCGCGAUUGAAUGAGCCGAUGUCGGAUUAGCUAGUUGGCGGGGUAAAGGCCCACCAAGGCGACGAUCCGUAGCUGGUCUGAGAGGAUGAUCAGCCACACUGGAACUGAGACACGGUCCAGACUCCUACGGGAGGCAGCAGUGGGGAAUAUUGGACAAUGGGCGCAAGCCUGAUCCAGCCAUACCGCGUGGGUGAAGAAGGCCUUCGGGUUGUAAAGCCCUUUUGUUGGGAAAGAAAAGCAGCAGGUUAAUACCCCGCUGUUCUGACGGUACCCAAAGAAUAAGCACCGGCUAACUUCGUG